Molecule: non-coding RNA, 21 nt
Filed under: Caenorhabditis elegans
Lineage: Eukaryota; Metazoa; Nematoda; Chromadorea; Rhabditida; Rhabditidae
Source: RNAcentral
UCCGAUCGCAGAGCACAAGAC